This 434-nucleotide ribosomal RNA is filed under the name uncultured archaeon. Its description in RNAcentral is "bacterial SSU rRNA". It matches the Rfam family "Archaeal small subunit ribosomal RNA", at positions 19 to 458 of the family's 1478-position model. The record is from RNAcentral.
GGACCUGACUGCUAUCGGAUUGAUACUAAGCCAUGCGAGUCAUUGUAGCAAUACAAGGCAUACGGCUCAGUAACGCGUAGUCAACCUAACCUAUGGACGGGAAUAACCUCGGGAAACUGAGAAUAAUGCCCGAUAGAACAUUAUACCUGGAAUGGUUUAUGUUCCAAAUGAUUUAUCGCCGUAGGAUGGGACUGCGGCCUAUCAGUUUGUUGGUGAGGUAAUGGCCCACCAAGACUAUUACAGGUACGGGCUCUGAGAGGAGUAGCCCGGAGAUGGGUACUGAGACACGGACCCAGGCCCUAUGGGGCGCAGCAGGCGAGAAAACUUUGCAAUGUGCGAAAGCACGACAAGGUUAAUCCGAGUGAUUUCUGCUAAAGAAAUCUUUUGUUAGUCCUAGAAACACUAACGAAUAAGGGGUGGGCAAGUUCUGGUGU